UACGAAGGGAGCUAGCGUUGUUCGGAAUCACUGGGCGUAAAGCGCACGUAGACGGAUUUGUAAGUCAGGGGUGAAAUCCCGGGGCUCAACCUCGGAACUGCCUUUGAUACUGCAAAUCUCGAGUCCGAUAGAGGUGGGUGGAAUUCCUAGUGUAGAGGUGAAAUUCGUAGAUAUUAGGAAGAACACCGGUGGCGAAGGCGGCCCACUGGAUCGGUACUGACGCUGAGGUGCGAAAGCGUGGGGAGCAAACGGG
Molecule: ribosomal RNA, 253 nt
Filed under: uncultured bacterium
Lineage: Bacteria
Description: partial 16S ribosomal RNA
Rfam family: Bacterial small subunit ribosomal RNA
Source: RNAcentral